CUUCUGGGGUAGUAUUAUUAGAUGGAACCAACCCCUUCGGGGUGAUGUGGUGAUUCAUAAUAAGUUUGCGGAUCGCCGGUGGCGAUGGAUCAUUCAAGUUUCUGCCCUAUCACCUUUGGACGGUAAGGUAUUGGCUUACCGUGGCUUUAACGGGUAACGGGGAAUUAGGGUUCGAUUCCUGAGAGGGGGCCUGAGAGAUGGCCACCACAUCCAAGGAAGGCAGCAGGCGCGUAAAUUACCCAAUCUUGACACAAGGAGGUAGUGACAAUAAAUAACAAUGCCGGGCCUUAUGGGUCUGGCAUUGGAAUGAUAACAAUUUAACCCCUUAUCCAGGAUAAUUGGAGGGAAGUCUGGUGCCGCGGCCGCGGUAAUCCCGCUCCAUAGCUAAAAUAAAAAAUUAAAA
RNAcentral lists this ribosomal RNA (403 nucleotides) under Amphora coffeiformis. RNAcentral describes it as "bacterial SSU rRNA". It matches the Rfam family "Eukaryotic small subunit ribosomal RNA", at positions 193 to 624 of the family's 1831-position model. The record is from RNAcentral. Lineage: Eukaryota; Bacillariophyta; Bacillariophyceae; Surirellales; Surirellaceae.